Molecule: ribosomal RNA, 497 nt
Filed under: uncultured bacterium
Lineage: Bacteria
Description: partial 16S ribosomal RNA
Rfam family: Bacterial small subunit ribosomal RNA
Source: RNAcentral
GAUGAACGCUGGCGGCGUGCCUAAUACAUGCAAGUCGAGCGAACAGACGAGGAGCUUGCUCCUCUGACGUUAGCGGCGGACGGGUGAGUAACACGUGGAUAACCUACCUAUAAGACUGGGAUAACUUCGGGAAACCGGAGCUAAUACCGGAUAAUAUAUUGAACCGCAUGGUUCAAUAGUGAAAGACGGUUUUGCUGUCCCUUAUAGAUGGAUCCGCGCCGCAUUAGCUAGUUGGUAAGGUAACGGCUUACCAAGGCGACGAUGCGUAGCCGACCUGAGAGGGUGAUCAGCCACACUGGAACUGAGACACGGUCCAGACUCCUACGGGAGGCAGCAGUAGGGAAUCUUCCGCAAUGGGCGAAAGCCUGACGGAGCAACGCCGCGUGAGUGAUGAAGGUCUUCGGAUCGUAAAACUCUGUUAUUAGGGAAGAACAAAUGUGUAAGUAACUAUGCACGUCUUGACGGUACCUAAUCAGAAAGCCACGGCUAACUACAUG